GACGAACGCUGGCGGCGUGCUUAACACAUGCAAGUCGAACGGAAAGGCCCUUCGGGGUACUCGAGUGGCGAACGGGUGAGUAACACGUGGGUGAUCUGCCCUGCACUUUGGGAUAAGCCUGGGAAACUGGGUCUAAUACCGGAUAGGACCACGGCAUUCAUGUGCUGUGGUGGAAAGCUUUUGCGGUGUGGGAUGGGCCCGCGGCCUAUCAGCUUGUUGAUGGGGUAAUGGCCUACCAAGGCGACGACGGGUAGCCGGCCUGAGAGGGUGACCGGCCACACUGGGACUGAGAUACGGCCCAGACUCCUACGGGAGGCAGCAGUGGGGAAUAUUGCACAAUGGGCGCAAGCCUGAUGCAGCGACGCCGCGUGAGGGAUGACGGCCUUCGGGUUGUAAACCUCUUUCGCCAGGGACGAAGCGCAAGUGACGGUACCUGGAGAAGAAGGACCGGCCAACUACGUG
Molecule: ribosomal RNA, 462 nt
Filed under: uncultured bacterium
Lineage: Bacteria
Description: partial 16S ribosomal RNA
Rfam family: Bacterial small subunit ribosomal RNA
Source: RNAcentral